This 363-nucleotide ribosomal RNA is filed under the name Klebsiella sp. 142R. Its description in RNAcentral is "bacterial SSU rRNA". It matches the Rfam family "Bacterial small subunit ribosomal RNA", at positions 971 to 1335 of the family's 1533-position model. The record is from RNAcentral. Lineage: Bacteria; Pseudomonadati; Pseudomonadota; Gammaproteobacteria; Enterobacterales; Enterobacteriaceae.
UUACCUGGUCUUGACAUCCACAGAACUUACCAGAGAUGGAUUGGUGCCUUCGGGAACUGUGAGACAGGUGCUGCAUGGCUGUCGUCAGCUCGUGUUGUGAAAUGUUGGGUUAAGUCCCGCAACGAGCGCAACCCUUAUCCUUUGUUGCCAGCGGUUAGGCCGGGAACUCAAAGGAGACUGCCAGUGAUAAACUGGAGGAAGGUGGGGAUGACGUCAAGUCAUCAUGGCCCUUACGACCAGGGCUACACACGUGCUACAAUGGCAUAUACAAAGAGAAGCGACCUCGCGAGAGCAAGCGGACCUCAUAAAGUUUUCUUAGUCCGGAUUGGAGUCUGCAACUCGACUCCAUGAAGUCGGAAUCGC